AUACUUACCUGGCAGGGGAGAUACCAUGAUCAUGAAGGUGCUUUCCUCAGGGCAAGGCAAGGCUGAUCCAUUACACUCCGGAUGUGCUGACCCCUGCAAUUUCCCCAGAUGUUGGAAGCUCAGCUGCAUAAUUUGUGGUAGUGGGGGACUGCGUUCAUGCUGUUCCCUG
Erinaceus europaeus (western European hedgehog) is the source of this 169-nucleotide small nuclear RNA. Its record names the gene U1. It matches the Rfam family "U1 spliceosomal RNA". Rfam says of the family: U1 is a small nuclear RNA (snRNA) component of the spliceosome (involved in pre-mRNA splicing). Its 5' end forms complementary base pairs with the 5' splice junction, thus defining the 5' donor site of an intron. There are significant differences in sequence and secondary structure between metazoan and yeast U1 snRNAs, the latter being much longer (568 nucleotides as compared to 164 nucleotides in human). Lineage: Eukaryota; Metazoa; Chordata; Mammalia; Eulipotyphla; Erinaceidae. The record is from Ensembl.